Non-coding RNA from Arvicanthis niloticus (Nile rat), 2443 nucleotides. NCBI's taxonomy places the organism in Eukaryota, Metazoa, Chordata, Mammalia, Rodentia, Muridae. The record is from RefSeq and is a predicted model, not a curated record.
AUGUCUCUGGGUGGCAGCGAGCACGGCAAGUCAAAGCUGGCUCUUCAGGGCUUCUGCGGCCUGAGGUGGCCGGUCUUCGGUCUUCGAAAGAACCACCAGCCAUCGCCAGGAGGGGACUGCCCAUGGACUGGCACUCAGACCUGGGUGAACAGAGUCCUCGAAAGCAACUCAUUUGGCGACGCCACGGGGACGAACUGUGCCGCGGUGCAUUUCGUGUUGAGGAGCGAUGUGCACUCACUGCCUUCAACUUGAGGCGCCCAUCCCCAAUGCACCGGUUACCCGCUGGCAGCGCAAAACAAACGAAGCCACAGGCCCAGCCCCCUCGCCGCCGAUGAGGGCAGACCAAGGAUCACACAGCGCUGGCCGAACCCCGGGGCGGAACUCCUGGCAAAUCUAAUUCCAAAGUUCAGACCACCCCUAGCAAGCCUGGAGCUGACCGCUAUAUCCCCCAAGGCAUUGCUUCCCAAAUAGAGGUGGCCAGCUUCCUAUUGAGCAAGGAAAACCAGCUGGAAGACAAGGAUGGUGGGGGACGCCCACCAAGAAAGAGCAUCAGAAAGCCUGGGCUCUGAACCUGAACGGUUUUGAUGUGGAGGAAGCCAAGAUUCUCAGGCUCAGUAGAAAACCUCAGAAUGUCCCUGAAGGCUACCUACCAGAACCGACUGAAAGUACUCUACAGUCAGAAGUUAGGCUUGGCUUCAGCCGGAAGGCUUGUAGAUACGUUCCUUCCCUGCCAGACAGGAUUCUUGAUGUUCCUGAAAUCCGGAAUGACUACUACCUGAAUCUUGUUCAUCGGAGCUCUGGAAAUGUAUUGGCUGUGGCACUGGACAACAGUGUGUAGUUAUGGAAUGUUGGUUCGGGUGACAUCCUGUAGUUGUUGCAAAUGUAGCAGCCUGGGGACUACAUAUGUUCGGUUGCCUGGAUCAAAGAGGAAAACUACCUAGUUGUGGGCCGGUAAAGCUGAGGGAUGUACAGCAGUAGUAACUACUUUGAAACAUGACCACUUACACCGCUCCAGUAAGCUCCCUAAGUUGGAACAGCUAUAUCCUGCCCAGUGGUCCACGGUUUGGCCACAUCCACCACCCUGAUAUUUGAGUAGCAGAACACCAUGUGGCCACACUGAGUGGCCAUAGCCAGGGAGUAUGUGGGCUGCGCUGGGCCCCAGUUGGAGGACAUCUGACAACCGGUGGCAAUAAUAAGAUUGCCAAUGUGUGGCCUAGUGGUCCUGGAGAAAGUGGCUGGGUUCCCCUGCAAACAUUCACCCAACAUCAAGGUGCUGUCAAGGCUGUUGCAUGGUGUCCCUGGCAGUCCAAUAUCCUGGCAACAGGAGGAGGUACCAGUGACCGGACACAUUCACAUUUGGAAUGUCUGCUCUGGGGCCUAAGUGCUGUGGAUGUACGUUCCCAAGUGUGCUCCAUCCUCUGGUCUCUCCACUAUAAGGAACUUAUCUCAGGUCUUGGCUUUGGCCAGAACCAGCUGAUUAUUUGGAAGUACCCAACCAUGGCCAAAGUGGCUGAGCUCAAAGGUCACACAGCCAGGGCCCCGAGUCUUACGAUGAGUUUGGAUGGGGCCACAGUGGCAUCAGCAGUAGCCUAUGAGAUUCUAUGGUUGUGGCUCUGCUUUUGAGUUGGACCCUGACCUUUCCUGGGAGCAGAGGUGGGGGUGGGGGGAGGGAGCCAGUGUAGCUAAAAGUAGCUCUUAUCCACCAAGGCAUUCAACCAAGAAGGCUGUGCCAGAGGAGAAACCUAAGGAAUUUCGCAGAGUUGAAGGUGAAGUGCCUGAGGAAGUUUCCCUUGAAGACAUUGCGAAAGACAGGAGGAAGCUCUUCCAGGAGAAGACAAAGCACUGUCACAAGGAGUGCAGGCAGGUGUACCGGACUGAGAUUCUGGUGGCUAGGAUGGCUAGGAUGGCAAGGAAAGCUGGAAACGUCUAAGUAUCCGCAGAACCAAAAUUGGUGUUUGUCAUCAGAAUCUGAAGUAUCAAUGGAGCAAGGCCGAAGGUCCCUACAGGUAUUGCAACUUCAACUUCUUCGGCUUCGACAGAUCUGCAACAGGCACCUUUGUUAAGCUCAACAAGGCUUCAAAUAACAAGCUGAGGAUUGUGGAACCCUACCUUGUAUAUGGGUACCCCAACCUGAAGUCAGUAAGUGAGCUCAUCUACAAGGGACGCUAUGGCAAAAAUCAUUAAGAAGCACAUUGCCUUGACAGAUAAUUGUUUGAUUACUUGAUCUCUUAGUAAAUUUGGCACCAUCUGCAUGGAGGAUCUAAUUCAUAAGAGGUAUACAGCUGGGAAACGCUUCAAAGGAAGUGAAUAACUCUUCCUGUGGCCCUUCAAAUUAUCUUUCCCAUGAGGUGGAAUGAAGAAAAAGACAACUCAAUUUGUGGAAGGUGGAGGUGCUGGCAACAGGGAAGAUCAAAUAAACAGGCUUAAUAGACAGAUGAACUAA